AGGUGAACCUGCGGAGGGAUCAUUACACAAU
Molecule: ribosomal RNA, 31 nt
Filed under: Alternaria conjuncta
Lineage: Eukaryota; Fungi; Ascomycota; Dothideomycetes; Pleosporales; Pleosporaceae
Also listed under: 14 other names
Description: partial 18S ribosomal RNA
Source: RNAcentral